AGCUUCAACAAGCAAUUUCUGAACUUGAAAGUCGUAGUGCUAUAUCUUGGAAUCUGAAAUGGAUACAGCUUGAAGAACAUUUUCAUGGGCUCGAGAAGUCACUUAAGAAAAGAUUUAAUGAGUUGGAAGGUCAGGAGAAUGAAUAUGUAGCCAAGGUCUCCGAGACGCAGGUUAUGUUGGAGAAGGAAGAAGCUGUUGUUG
This 201-nucleotide unclassified non-coding RNA is filed under the name Hevea brasiliensis (rubber tree). The record is from RNAcentral. Lineage: Eukaryota; Viridiplantae; Streptophyta; Magnoliopsida; Malpighiales; Euphorbiaceae.